CGGUGCAUACAUUCGUAAUGGCCCCAACCCUCAGUUCCUCCCUCGUGGACCUUACCACCUGUUCGAUGGUGAUGGUAUGCUUCACUCCAUUCGAAUCUCCAAGGGCAAGGCCACCUUGUGUAGCAGAUAUGUAAAGACGUACAAGUACUCCAUUGAAAACCAAAUGGGUUCUCCCGUUUUCCCCAAUGUUUUCUCCGGCUUUAACGGCCUAACCGCCGCUGCCACUCGCGGUGCUCUCUCCGCUGUCAGAAUUCUAUCCGGUGAGUUCAAUCCUGCAAACGGUAUUGGUCUUGCAAACACUAGUUUGGCCUUGUUUGGGAACCGUCUCUACGCGCUUGGUGAGUCAGAUCUACCUUACUCCAUACGCUUAACAUCCACAGGGGAUAUACAAACAUUGGGUCGCAUUGAUUUUAAUGGAAAGUUGUUCAUGAGCAUGACUGCUCACCCUAAGAUAGACGAUGACACCGGCGAGGCCUUUGCUUUCCGAUAUGGGCCUGUGCCUCCAUAUCUAACUUAUUUUCACUUUGAUGCUAAUGGAAAUAAGCAACCAGAUGUGCCUAUAUUC
This 565-nucleotide long non-coding RNA is filed under the name Gossypium barbadense (sea-island cotton). RNAcentral describes it as "long non-coding RNA (GBAR_LNC011936)". The record is from RNAcentral. Lineage: Eukaryota; Viridiplantae; Streptophyta; Magnoliopsida; Malvales; Malvaceae.